UGGGGAAUUUUGGACAGUGGGCGAAAGCCUGAUCCAGCAAUGCCGCGUGUGUGAAGAAGGCCUUCGGGUUGUAAAGCACUUUUGUCCGGAAAGAAAUCCUUGGCUCUAAUACAGUCGGGGGAUGACGGUACCGGAAGAAUAAGCACCGGCUAACUACGUGCCAGCAGCCGCGGUAAUACGUAGGGUGCAAGCGUUAAUCGGAAUUACUGGGCGUAAAGCGUGCGCAGGCGGUUUGCUAAGACCGAUGUGAAAUCCCCGGGCUCAACCUGGGAACUGCAUUGGUGACUGGCAGGCUAGAGUAUGGCAGAGGGGGGUAGAAUUCCACGUGUAGCAGUGAAAUGCGUAGAGAUGUGGAGGAAUACCGAUGGCGAAGGCAGCCCCCUGGGCCAAUACUGACGCUCAUGCACGAAAAGCGUGGGGAGCAAACAGGAUUAGAUACCCUGGUAGUCCACGCCCUAAAACGAUGUCAACUAGUUGUUGGGGAUUCAUUUCCUUAGUAACGUAGCUAACGCGUGAAGUUGACCGCCUGGGGAGUACGGUCGCAAGAUUAAAACUCAAAGGAAUUGACGGGGUCAUA
Molecule: ribosomal RNA, 577 nt
Filed under: uncultured bacterium
Lineage: Bacteria
Description: partial 16S ribosomal RNA
Rfam family: Bacterial small subunit ribosomal RNA
Source: RNAcentral